This 452-nucleotide ribosomal RNA is filed under the name uncultured bacterium. Its description in RNAcentral is "bacterial SSU rRNA". It matches the Rfam family "Bacterial small subunit ribosomal RNA", at positions 28 to 478 of the family's 1533-position model. The record is from RNAcentral.
GACGAACGCUGGCGGCGUGCUUAACACAUGCAAGUCGAACGGAGCACCCUUGAAAGAGAUUUCGGUCAAUGGAUAGGAAUGCUUAGUGGCGGACGGGUGAGUAACGCGUGAGGAACCUGCCUUUCAGAGGGGGACAACAGCUGGAAACGGCUGCUAAUACCGCAUAACACAUAGGUGUCGCAUGGCAUUUAUGUCAAAGAUUUAUCGCUGAGAGAUGGCCUCGCGUCUGAUUAGCUAGUUGGUAGGGUAACGGCCUACCAAGGCGACGAUCAGUAGCCGGACUGAGAGGUUGGCCGGCCACAUUGGGACUGAGAUACGGCCCAGACUCCUACGGGAGGCAGCAGUGGGGAAUAUUGGGCAAUGGGCGCAAGCCUGACCCAGCAACGCCGCGUGAAGGAAGAAGGCUUUCGGGUUGUAAACUUCUUUUAAGAGGGAAGAGUAGAAGACGGUAC